CCUACGGGCGGCUGCAGUGGGGAAUAUUGGACAAUGGGGGGAACCCUGAUCCAGCCAUGCCGCGUGUGUGAAGAAGGCCCUCGGGUUGUAAAGCACUUUCAGUGAGGAAUAACGCCUGGUGGUUAAUACCCAUCAGGAAAGACAUCACUCACAGAAGAAGCACCGGCUAACUCCGUGCCAGCAGCCGCGGUAAUACGGAGGGUGCGAGCGUUAAUCGGAAUUACUGGGCGUAAAGCGCGCGUAGGUGGCUUGAUAAGCCGGUUGUGAAAGCCCCGGGCUCAACCUGGGAACGGCAUCCGGAACUGUCAAGCUAGAGUGCAGGAGAGGAAGGUAGAAUUCCCGGUGUAGCGGUGAAAUGCGUAGAGAUCGGGAGGAAUACCAGUGGCGAAGGCGACCUUCUGGACUGACACUGACACUGAGGUGCGAAAGCGUGGGUAGCAAACAGGAUUAGAUACCCGGGUAGUC
RNAcentral lists this ribosomal RNA (465 nucleotides) under Vreelandella stevensii. Its description in RNAcentral is "partial 16S ribosomal RNA". It matches the Rfam family "Bacterial small subunit ribosomal RNA", at positions 338 to 795 of the family's 1533-position model. The record is from RNAcentral. Lineage: Bacteria; Pseudomonadati; Pseudomonadota; Gammaproteobacteria; Oceanospirillales; Halomonadaceae.